Long non-coding RNA from Leopardus geoffroyi (Geoffroy's cat), 4009 nucleotides. RefSeq lists it as uncharacterized. The record is from RefSeq and is a predicted model, not a curated record. The transcript is spliced from 2 exons. NCBI's taxonomy places the organism in Eukaryota, Metazoa, Chordata, Mammalia, Carnivora, Felidae.
CUUCCCUCAAGCCAUUAGCUGGUAUUCUUUGGAACUUUCUCCAUGCAAAAGAUUUUAAAGCCACUACCAAUAGUUAUAUUUCUUAGAGGAAGGCCUUCUCCCUACUGCAAAUCCCAAAUCCUCAAGUGACUGACAGAUGUACCACCUCGUGUUGGAAGAAGCCACUAUAGCUGGCUGGGCUCUACCGACAACCUGGACCACUUUGCUAAAGUUACUUCUGAUGCCGUAUCAAAAACCUACAGCCAUCAUUCCUCUGACAUCUGGCAACUGACUGGGUCCGCCACAUCUUCUUCCACCAGGAAUCCGUGGACCAUCCUGUAGAGACCACACCUGAGCCCAGGUCCCUGCUGUGGCUAUCACAAAGUGUUCUUAUGUGAGCAGAAUUAAAGUGGACUGAACCGGGUAGGGGGCGGAACGGAAGUAUUCACAGCAAGGCACAGCUAGCUCUAGGCGGCACCUCUGUAUCACUCUAUUGAGCGUAAAUCCAAAUCAUCACAAUAUGUCCUGUGCGUUUCUAAAUCCACCCUCUGUACUCCAAACCAAAAAAACUAAGCUCUCCGAUAACUCUGGAAUGGCAUUCUGUUAGAUGUUGCACAAAGGCAGUACUCUGAGUCAGAAAUAUUAGCCUGUUUCACAAUUUUUGAGACAAUUUAGCGCUGAGUCAUUUUUUUUUCUUUUUAAAUUUUUUAAAAUGUUUAUUUUUGAGAGAUUGCAAGUGGGGGUGGGGCAGAGAGAGAGGGAGACACAGAAUCUGAAGCAGGCUCCAGGCUCCGAGCUGUCAGCACAGAACCCAACGUGGGGCUCGAACCCAUGAGCCAUGAGAUCAUGACCUGAGCCGAAGUCGGCCACUUAACUGGCUGAGUCACCCAGGCGCCCUUCCUUUGUAAUUAUUAAAUUGUGCAUGCCUGUUGACCUUUUCUUUGUAUAUAUGUUACAUCUCAAAAGAAAAAAAGGAAAUUUGUUUUUAAAUAAAAGUAUUACAGAAUACCUGAAGUUGUUCGAUUAUGCUUGAGGGUCUAAGUGAAGCAGAAGUAGAGACGAGGAGCCUCUGGGUCAAGCCACCUGUCAGAGAAUCUCUAUUGUGGUUCUCAGAGAAGUGUGGCUGGGCAGAGGUUGGAGGGCUCACUGCAGUGGCUCAGAGGUAACAGUGCAUGACAGGCUAAAGUUAGCACUUACUGUGUUAAUUCAAGAGCAAUCCGGCCACCCUCUUGAGUCUUAAGAAUAACUUCAUGAUAGGCUGAAAUCAAUCAAUGAUGACCGUUCCCAGGGACUCACUCAAAGCCAUGAGAACAGCAAGUAAAAAAGACGUUGGUAACCUAAAAACAUGAAGUUAGAGGGGCAGAACUGUGUUUUUUUUAAGGACAUCUCAUAUCACUCAGAAGCUUGAGGAGGUGGGAAUAGAGUGACAGCACUCUAAGGGUGGCGUUCAAACUUAAGAUUCCAAUUCACUAGGUCUGGGAGAUGGGGCAAAAAUCAGUACUUUAAACACAAUUCCAAAGGGAAUUUUGUUGAUCUUCCAAUUUUCCCAAUUGGGAACCAAUAAGUAAUGACACCAAGAUUACUUCCCCAAUAAGGCCAGGGCCCCGAGGUCUGGUUUUCUGCCACGCUUACCUUUUGGUUGGAAAAGAAUUGGUACCACGUGCCCCUCCCCUCCAAACUUUUUGAGAGGCAGUAUUUUUGUCUGCCAUGCCAGCCCACUUCGGGGAGGGUGGGGAGGGGGAGAGGAGGCGUGGAAAUAAGCGUGAUUGUAUACAAACCAGAAGGCUAUACACAUCGCUUAACAGUGGUUACCGCUGGAUGGCAGGUGAAUUAUUUCUCUCGUGCUUUUUAUUUGCAAAUUUUCUAUGCUGAGUUUCUUACACAGUAAAACAACAAAUUCAUGUUUAAAAGACUGAGAAAACAGACACCCUCUGCUCUUGCCAAACUGGUUUCUUGUUCAGGAGGUGGGCGCAAGCACCUGUCAGGCUCCAUGGUCCUGCCCGGCAUCAGGGACAGCGGUCAGGGAAGGACGGAGGCGCGAGAAGAGCUGGGACAGGCCAGGGCUCUGUGCGCACGUUCUACCUGGCGCUGGGAGCUUCUGAAAGAAUUACUGGGAAAAUGCAAAAACAUCUCCAAAUCUUUCUUUUCCUUCCCCACCUCCAGUUUGAGCCCUGAGUCGCCACUUAAAGAAGAGUCACUCGCUACAUAACCCUUUUCGAUAUUUAUUUCCUGUACAAAAUAUUUACAGUCUCACUACAGCUGCCUGGCCCCUUUGCCUGGCCUGACGGACCUGCAGCAGGGCUUGGUCUCUAGAAAACACGCUGAUGCUCUCCCUGCUGUUCACUUGCUGCUUGGCUUCCUUCAAAGACACUAAAAGGCCAGUCGUUCAGCCCGCCUCCCCCAAGUACCUGGGCCACAAGGGCAUAAACAAAAGAACUGGCCAAAAGAAGAAACACGAAAGUAAAAAUUGCCCGAGAAGUAACACAUAUUCCUCCCUCUCUCUGACAUGUACCUUUUUCUCCCAUAUUGACUAGUACCAGAGCAGGAUUAGAAAAAAAGAGAAAAGGAAAAGGCCAAACAGAGCAAAGAUACUUCUGAACAGACUUGGGAGAGGGAGUACACUGGAAGAGUAGAAAACCACAACAGUAUCAAAGGGUUUUGUUACACAAAGACCCUGGGGCCAAGGUCCACCACAGGCACGCAAGCGGCUGCAGCCAGCCGCGGUGGCACCCAGGAUGCUCUGAAAAGUGCUAUGACUGGAGCUUAAAAUGACAGAUCUAGCCAAGAAAAUCAAAUCGAGCUCCAGCAGCAGUCUCUGGAGGGCCAAGGAGGGGAGAAUGCAGAGUCCAGAAGAAGAUCAACUGCCAAGGACAGCAGAACCAGCCCACGUACCCCCAGCUGGAAGCCCCUCUCCAGGCCCGAGGGGCAACGUCGCCUUGUCCAGGGUGAUGACGAAACUCGCCUGCAUGUGUCCCAUGGGAAGACACUGGGGCGAGCAGCAGCACCUUGUCCUGGUCCCUGAGGAGAGCAGUGACCGUGUGGCAUGGAGGACCCUGUGGGUGUCGAGGCCCUGACGCUGGAUCCCAGACCCCAAGAAUGAGUGAGGUCGGCACCCAUGCCAAGGACAAAUGACAACUGCGAAGGAGUGAGGUCAGGCAGCAGUGGGAGCAGCUCGGGAGGGCUUGUUCCUUGUGAUCCCUGGGAACGGGAGGGCUCAGACAUGCUUCCGGGAGGCCAGGGCAUUGCCAUAAGUCCUGCCUCAUCUCUGGCCUCUGUACUUGCUGGUUUUGGCAGUAAGGAUGGCUUGUAAUAUUCUCAGAGUUGAAUGCCCCGUUGAGAAGGGUAGCUUGCAGCAAAGCCUUCUUAAACACAGAAAUUUGGAGAGUUGAUGAGAGUUUGAGUCUUGAAGAUGUGUGUAUUCAAACUGUAAUGAGAAAGGAUGGUGUGAUCUUCCAAGAGACAGCUGCAGGUUCUCUUCAGUCAUCGUGUAACCGAACCUACUAGAUCGUCCUCCCUCCACUGGGACUCCUGCUGGCAACUGACAGAGUGAAGUCACUGAGCAGCUGGGUGUUUGUUGUCUGACACAGCUCUUCUAUGUAUGUUCCUUGUGCCCUGACCCCAAGGACCUGUGACUGAGCCACAGGUCCCUUUUCCCUUGCCUCAGUGCUGCCAGAGAAAACCAAGCAAAGAGAGAACCAGGCAUCGUUAGCAUGCUAUUCUUACUGUCUCAAUCCCUUGCUACAAAAUUUUCUUCCGUAGAAAGCUAAAGAAUCCCUAGCUCUUAGCAGACUGAAUAAGUUGAAGGUAAAUGGCCAGGCCCAGCCACACCCCAGUGUAAAGAACAAACUCAGGGACAAACGUCAGUAGUCUUCAAGCCAGCCAUGUGCCUAGACGUGUCCCAGGCCCUAAGGGAAAAUCAUAUUCAGCACUGGAAGCUAUAGCCCAGCUAUCUUUCACAUUCUUGGGUCUGUUUUUCUCACUGGCUCAAACUCAAAAAAAAAAAAGCGUAGAGAGUUCUUUAUGGAUUAAU